RNAcentral lists this small RNA (175 nucleotides) under Capra hircus (goat). RNAcentral describes it as "TUC338 (ENSCHIG00000003013.1)". The record is from RNAcentral. Lineage: Eukaryota; Metazoa; Chordata; Mammalia; Artiodactyla; Bovidae.
CUGAAGUUCUCUUUAAAACUCCUGUGCUGCCAGACAAUGGCUACAACUUUGGCAGAGGCAGUGCUAAGUUUUUCAGUGUGGCCCUGUGCCAGAGUGAGUCAAUCUUGACCCCUUGCAGGAUGAUUAGCAGAGAGGGGGUAGUUAAACCUUUAUACCCAUUCAUUCCUAGGUUUCU